UGAGGGCGUUCUAGUCUCUGACCAAUUUACCCUUUUAAAUCUACCAUUGUGCCAUAAGAGUAUGAAUAAUGAGCAUCGAGCCUUAUAUGGAGUGAUUUAUAAUAUACUUUCACAUCUGUGAAUUAAAUUGGAGCUCUGUGAGUUGGGGCAAAAUAAAGAUUAUUAUACCCAUUUUAAGGAUCAGGGACUGAGGCUCAGAGGGGGAAGUAACACAGGGGAAUUGGAGCUCCUAUGGCAGAGCUUUCUCUACGCUAUGGGCUGAAGGUCUGUGUCACCGCAAAUUCAAAGCUCUAAUCCCCAGUGUGACGGUAUUUGGAGAUAAGGCAUUUGGAAGGUAGUUAGAUGUGGAUGAGGUCAUGAGUGUGGAACCCCUUGACGGAAUUAGAUGAAAAGAGGAAGAAGCCAGAACUCUCUCUUUCUCCUCACCAUGUGAGGACACAGCACAGCUGUCUGUAAACCAGGAAGAGGGCCCUUACCAAGGAGCCAACCAUGCUGGCAUCCUGAUCUCAGACUUCUGGCCUCCAGAACUGUGAGAAGUAAAUUGCCGUUUGAGCUACGCAUUCUAGGGUACCCUUGUUAAAGCAGCCUGAGCUGACUGAGACACUGUGAAGGCUCUCCACCUGCUUUGCUAGGCUGGGCUUCAGGGUUGGCAGAAGAUGAGUCCACUGGCCGUGAGGUAUUCAGUGGCCAGGGCUGGGGGCUAAGAUGCCCAAGGGGAUUCAACCCAAGAUAACUCUUCCUCUUCCACCCAUUUUCUGUUUGCAUUCUCAUAAAGGCUAUGAUGCUCCUCUCUGAAGAAGCCCACAUGUGAUCUUCACAUUGUUGGGCAGACUUUUCCAGUUCUCUGGGCACUUGGUAGGCUGUCUUCUAGAAGGUAUGGCUGUGUGUCUUGUUAGGACCAAUGAACUGAGUGGAAGGGAGGUGUGUCAAUUCCCAGGAGGAAGCUUUCAAAGCUGCUGCGUACUUGGCCAUAUCUUUUUCCCUGCCACUGUGAUCAUGGGGACACAUGUCUAUAAGGAGCCUCUGUUAUCCUGGACAUAAGAGUGACUAUAUUAUGUGACAAUAUGCAUGACCCACUUUGAUGUGCAGCAGGAGCAAGAAUGAAAGAUUGUGCUUUUUACUGCCGCACAAUCUAACUUGGCAAGUAGAGCCAUAAAUGUUUGGGUCUCUGAGCAAAGACGAUGGUCCAGAGACAGAAACCACAAUAUUGGGAAGGGAGUAAGAGAUGGGGGAGGGGGAAUUGCCCAGUGGGUCCACUCUCCAUGAAGGCAGAGAUUUUUGUAUGUUUUGUUGACAGUUAUAUCCCUAGUACUUAGCAGAGUGUCUGGCCAUCAGCGGGUGCUCAUUAAUGCUGAAAAAACAAAUGAAUGACCUCCAUAUUUGCCCAAUAAUUGGACCAGAAAGAGACCACUCUAGUGAAUCCACUGAAGACAGGGACCAAAAUUUCAUAUGAAAUUAGCGACCACUCAAGUUUUCUAACCAUGAACUCAUUGUUGCCAGUUUCCCCUUCUGUUGUUUUCUGGUCUACCUCUGCCGGGUUCUCAUUUGUCUGUGGCUUUGUGUGAGAUAAGAAGAGAUGGGAACCUUUCUUCGUUCAUUAAAUCCUACAACCUUCA
Molecule: long non-coding RNA, 1616 nt
Organism: Felis catus (domestic cat)
Lineage: Eukaryota; Metazoa; Chordata; Mammalia; Carnivora; Felidae
Exons: 2
Source: RefSeq, a predicted model, not a curated record